CCUACGGGAGGCAGCAGUCGAGAAUCAUUCACAAUGGGGGAAACCCUGAUGGUGCGACGCCGCGUGGGGGAAUGAAGGUCUUCGGAUUGUAAACCCCUGUCAUGUGGGAGCAAAUUAAAAAGAUAGUACCACAAGAGGAAGAGACGGCUAACUCUGUGCCAGCAGCCGCGGUAAUACAGAGGUCUCAAGCGUUGUUCGGAAUCACUGGGCGUAAAGCGUGCGUAGGCUGUUUCGUAAGUCGUGUGUGAAAGGCGCGGGCUCAACCCGCGGACGACACAUGAUACUGCGAGACUAGAGUAAGGGAGGGGGAACCGGAAUUCUCGGUGUAGCAGUGAAAUGCGUAGAUAUCGAGAGGAACACUCGUGGCGAAGGCGGGUUCCUGGACAUUAACUGACGCUGAGGCACGAAGGCCAGGGGAGCGAAAGGGAUUAGAUACCCCAGUAGUC
This 446-nucleotide ribosomal RNA is filed under the name uncultured bacterium. Its description in RNAcentral is "partial 16S ribosomal RNA". It matches the Rfam family "Bacterial small subunit ribosomal RNA", at positions 338 to 795 of the family's 1533-position model. The record is from RNAcentral.